Long non-coding RNA from Lingula anatina, 693 nucleotides. The record is from RefSeq and is a predicted model, not a curated record. NCBI's taxonomy places the organism in Eukaryota, Metazoa, Brachiopoda, Lingulata, Lingulida, Lingulidae.
AACCCUAACCAUUAUAACUAUAUGGAGGGCGGACUCUCUGUUACACGGACCCUUCGUUUUGUUACUCCUAAUCUAGUGAUCUUUAUUAUUUCACAUGACACACAUGUUGUGGGUCAUUUGGCUUUCUGGAUAAAAAGGAUUAUAAAGCGAUUUUUGAGCCAAAAUAAUGCACGUAAAGAAACCAAAUUUGCUUGUUGACCCAUGUGGCAGACUAGCCGUAGCCAGGUGCUAAUUGAGAGAAAUCAAAGGAGAUGAGACUACAGAACAGGUGAAUCAGCAAGCCAAGUUUUCUUCCACGGAACCAUUUGCACGGGUUAUUUAGUUCCUGGCUUCAAUCAGCUUUGCAUGGCUAAACACAAUCCAUGGAAGAUAUAGACUUGGAAAGUGUGCCGGAGGAAGGUAGUGACAAUGAAAAGCCAUAUCAUUGUGAAACUGAACAUUGGAAUAGGCAUAUUUCAUUUGUUUAAAAAUCUUUUCAUUGGUAUUUUUGCAGGGAUAAGCUGUGGUUUUCAUUUUACAUGAUCUUAAUUGUACAUAUUUAAAAGUAAUGUUUAGUUGGACCAAGUAAUGUGUAAGAUGUCAAUGUGUAUAGAACAGUUUCGACAUUUGAAAAGACGCUGAUAUCUUUUAAAAUAUUUUCACUGUCCUAGAGACAAAAUUACUGUAUGGAAUAAUUUGUUAUAGACAUAUUUU